This 862-nucleotide ribosomal RNA is filed under the name uncultured Neocallimastigales. Its description in RNAcentral is "partial large subunit ribosomal RNA". It matches the Rfam family "Eukaryotic large subunit ribosomal RNA", at positions 1 to 635 of the family's 3401-position model. The record is from RNAcentral. Lineage: Eukaryota; Fungi; Neocallimastigomycota; Neocallimastigomycetes; Neocallimastigales.
CGCAUCUGUGCAUGCAGCAUAUCAAUAAGCGGAGGAAAAGUAAAUGCUGUAUACCUACGCUUAGGAUGUUGAAGAUGUAGCACAUCAUACACGCAUGACACACUGCAUAUCAAUAAGCGGAGGAAAAGAAACUAACAAGGAUUCCCCUAGUAACGGCGAGUGAAGCGGGAAGAGCUCAAAUUUGAAAUCUUAAAGGGUUUCCCUUUACGAAUUGUAGUUUAAAGAAGUGUUUUCUGUUGAGGUUUUGGUAAAAGUUCUUUGGAAUAGGACAUCAUAGAGGGUGAGAAUCCCGUAUUUGACCUUUACUUUCAACUUUGUGAUACACUUUCAAAGAGUCGGAUUGUUUGGGAAUGCAGUCCAAAAUGGGUGGUAAAUUUCAUCUAAAGCUAAAUAUUGGCGAGAGACCGAUAGCGAACAAGUACCGUGAGGGAAAGAUGAAAAGAACUUUGAAAAGAGAGUUAAACAGUACGUGAAAUUGUCAAAAGGGAAGCGUUUGACACCAGUGUUGUUUUUCUGAAAAUCAAUUAAAGAACUGUUUAUGCUAAGUUGUUUAGACUUUAUCAGCUAACUGUUUAGUUUUGAGCUUUUCUUUAAUGCACUUUUCAGUUAACAAGUCAACAUCAAUUUCUUUUGCUGUAAAAAAGCUUGAGGAAGGUGGCUUGAGAUUCGUCUUAAGUGUUUAUAGCCUCUUGCCUAUGCAGUCGGAGAGAUUGAGGUCUGCAGCGUAGAUCCUUCGGGGCUAAAUGCAUUUGUGCUAAGUUAUAGCAUUUUAUAGACAACUUGUUGACUAUGAUUUGUCUUGUAGCUUACUCGCUUAUGUUAUUUUACCUACGCUUAGGAUGUUGAAGAUGUAGCACAUCAU